RNAcentral lists this long non-coding RNA (2899 nucleotides) under Homo sapiens (human). RNAcentral's name for it is "HSALNT0392775". Lineage: Eukaryota; Metazoa; Chordata; Mammalia; Primates; Hominidae. The record is from RNAcentral.
UAAAGGACCAUGGCAGAGUUUACGUGAUCUUCGGAGGCCAGAGGAUCGAAAUUGGAGACUUGAAGACCCUCAAACACAUGAAGAGUGUUACUCUAAUAUUUAGCAAGUUCCUUGGGAAGACACAAAACCAUCACCACUAGAAAAUGCCUUUGACCAAGCCUUGGACAGAUGAAGACAAAGCGGAGCACACAUCACGAAAAGUGUCUGUCUCAUCCGCAGCCUGGCCUACCCUUCCCCCAUCAAGGUGGAGAAAAUCAACUUUCCAUAAAUUAUGCAGCCUUAAAGCAAGUGCUUCACUAUGCUGGGAGUUAACAACCUCAUUUGUAAAAUCAGUGGAUGAGACUAUCCUAGAAAAUGACCUUUAAGACCUUUUCCGGGUCUAACUUACACUUUACUAAGAGUGCCGAUUAAAUAAACUUGUGAUGAAAAAGCUUUUUUGGAAGAUGGACGCAAAUUAAUCCAACCUUCUUAUUUUACAGAAAGAAAAACUGAAGGCCAAAGAAAUGAGACAAGGUCACGCAGCUAGCUGACCACAGGCUCAGGGAUACAGCCCUGGGCUGAGCUCACACACUCCAGGGCUUCCUGCACCUUGGCCCACUACCUAGUCAAAAGUCCCCUCCAAAAAGGUAUCACAUGAUCAAUGUUGCUCCACUUCAAAGCAGUUCCCUCCAAAACCCUGCAGUUUUAGAACAGAGCAUUAAAGGAAGUCACCCAAAAAGAAAGACAGCUGUAGCAAAAGUCUAAGGCUUACGGAUAAGAAAGUGACACCUGGUCAAGCUACUCCAGUUCCCCAGCCCACCUUCCUGUGCUCCUCAAACCAAAUCCAAGACCUCCUAGGAUCUAACCAGCACAAGUUUCAGAAAGUCUGUGUCAUCUAAGUUUACAAUGUCUACCCUCAGGAAACUUGGCUCUUCAAACACACAGGAGACUGCCCCUUUUGCACGUGGAAAGCAGUGAGAGGCCAGUUCCCUGAAGCAAGGUAACCAAUGGCAAGAGGAAUGAGCAGAAGCACUGGCCUGAGGGCUCCACAGGAGAGCCCUGUGCAGAUGGGGACCAAGUGGAGAACUUGCCAUGUCUAUUUCUGCAUUGUUCCAUAUUCCAGUGGAUAGCCCAGAAAUAAAUGGAAGAUUUAUUCUACUGGCCAUGUCCUAUUUGAAAACAGACAUUUUAGCCAUCUAAAGAAGAAAAUGGUUCAGGUUUCUUAUAGGAAGAUAAGGCAGCAACAAUAGUGUGGUUUAAAUCAUCAGAUCCCACAUUCCAGAUAAGAAAAACAAUACCCACAGAGCAAGAAGAGCUUGUAAAGUCAAAGAAAGAACAAAAUCCAGGCUACUAUCUCUAAUACAAAUUGGCUCCACAGUCCCUUCCAUCUUCUGCAAAAAUGCCAGCUUUUGAAAAGUUACUUGAAACACUGUAUUGUUUGCAAGCAAAAUGAUUUUCAAAUUAUCACUAGUUCUUCAAGGGACAUUAGAGUUUGCCCUAAGUCACUCUUGUUAAAUAAUAAUUACCUAAGCUGAAUUCACUUAAGCAAUAUUACACUCUUAUAUUAAAUAAAGAGGACAGACACUGUCAAUGUAUGCACAAGCUUUGAAAAAAAAUCACACAGCCUUAGCCAAAUGCACCUCACAAGGGCACAGCAAACAGGGUGCACUCUGUUAGGAGCACAGAUGGGAAGGUGGCCGUGGCAUACUUCUGUAACCUCAAUUAUAUACAUGCCUGGGCUAGAUUAAGGAAAGAAACUUCCAACCUUUUAUUUAAUUCUAUAGUCUUUUCCUUCUCUAAGUGCAUAAACUUAAAAAUUAUGUCUAAAAUUUAUAAACUUAAUAACUAAAUUUAAUAAUUCCUCCAUAUAGAACAGACAAGUAAUUUAAUAUGUAUUCCCUGACACAGUAUUAACUUGAAAAUGUCUGUCCACAGAUGAUCAGCACAUUCUUCUUUAAACAACAUUGCAACAUGCUGAGCUCCUAAAACUGUAGCCAUACAGAAAAUACAGACAAACGCUCAUGUCAGAGAACAAAUUGUGGCUACUAUGUCUAGAGAAAGAUAACAUAAUAGCAUCAAUGUCUAUUUUAAGGCCAUCUUCCAACAUCUGAAAGUGUUCACAGUAUCACUGAAUUCUUAAGACAGAAAAGUUCGUGUUUUUAAAUAAUGAUAUUAUCUAGGAGUAGUUCUUUCAAAAUGAAGGAAAUAAGUUCAUAAUAUAGGGACUAGAGAUCUGUGAAUAUCUAUACAAGGAAUUGAUAUUCAUGAAUUCUACAUAUCUCUAUUAGUAUUGUAAAGCAAAGCUGUGGAUACAACUUUAAAUAGGUGUCUAAUUUCACACAUUCCCAAAAAGACUAUUCCCAGCCAGAAUCUAGUUGAAUGGACUAUGUUGUGACAGGAAAACUCAGCUAAGUGCAGAUGUUUGUUUAAUGCCAAGGAGCCUGGGAAGCCAUCAAAAUGCCAGACUUUCUCUCAUCAUUUGCCUGCCUUUUUCCAAAACAUUCAAGGAUGUAAAUGAGUGCUUUAAAAGGAAAUUCGUGAAUGUAUUGUAUACCUACAGGAAGAUCUCCUUUUACUCUAGCCAAAGAGACUGUGGAGCAGAUCUCUGCAUUAGAAAGAGGAGCAGCAGCAGUGCCUGGCAGUGACCUGACUCACCGAACCCAAGCAGGGCACAAAACACAAGUCCCUAGGAAAGCCCACAGCAGGUGCCAGAAGGCAAGGCCAGGAGGGGGGCUCCCCCAGCAGGAGCUAAGAGGAUCCCAAGCCCGACAGUCUAACCCUGGAGCCUACCUUUCUGUCGGGUCCCUCUGAUUGCAUAUGCCAUGCCAUCUUUUCUGAGUGGGCAGGAAUCUUAUUCCUUACAUAUGUGCCUAGAAAACCCUUCAAUCUGCAGUAAAACACAGAAAUGUGCUAUUUUCAA